AAACCUAAUUUGCAAAUUGAGGAACCCUAACCCUAGCUUCCCUUUGCCUCAGCCGCACCCCACCCCUCUUUCACCCUCUUCAGUGUAACACUCUCAGCCUCACUCAAACUCACACACGGACAAGAGAGGAAGAAGGAGAAGAGGACGGCGCCGGUUGGUUGGGUGCCGCCGUCGCUGUCGUUGCCACGUUUGAGGGAGGAAGAGAUCAACAGAGAGUGCAGUUGCUGAGCCAGGAUCGCUGCUGCUGAGGGCUUUAUCGCCGCCGUCCAUGGAGCUUCGAGUAGCGCCGCUGUGCCUUCGUCGCGCCUCCAUUGCUGUUUAAGUCAGACCGUCGCGAAAGGAACCAGAGGAUGGAGACGGGCCCAAGCCAGGAGCAGGAGGAAGAAGAUGUCGCUGUGCCUCCCGUCGCCGUCGUUGUUCGUGCUCUGCCUGUCGCCGCCGUUCCGUGGAGUCCGCCCUGGUGCCGGUUGAACAGGGAUGAGGGAGAGGCGUCGAGAGGGAGAUGCAAUGGAGGUCAGAGGGAAGAGCUGCCAUCACCGCCAUCCCGUCUAUGAAGCUUGAGCUCGCGUUGCCGUCCUGAGCUUCGGCGCCGCCGUGGAGGAGAGUGGAGUAGUCACCGUCGUUGGAGAGAGGGAGAGCCAGAGGAGGACGAGACGUGUGAGAAAGGAGAUGCACAGGGGAGGAACCGUUCCUCUGCUGCCGCUAUCGCCGGAAUUCCUGGUCACCGUCGUCGUUCAUGGUAAGUCAUUUAAGCCAUAGCCAUGAGAACCACUACCUCUGAACCCCAGUUGCUCUGUAACAAUCUUGUAUUUUCCUCUGAUAUUCUCGACUCUGUUCUGCUUCUCUUUUGUUUUGUCGUUCUUACUUCGUUGGUGUCCCUGCUGUUCUAACCGAUUGGAUUGGUGCUGCUGCUGCUAAGACGUAUGCCCUGCUCUCUGGUUUCUAUUUUUCCGAGUACCAGAGCUACUGCUCCAUUCCCGUAUUUCUUUUGGUAAGAUAGGUUUUGUUCUGCAAUCAAUAUUCUGAUUACCGCUCCUUUGAUGAUCUGUUCUGUUUUACCCUUGUGUUUGCUUCAGCCUCUAUUAAAUUCCCUUCCAAAAUAUCUGUUGCUGCUACUAGAGUUGUGGGUGAUGCCGCUGCCGUUCCAAUUGUAUUGGAAUGACUACCUGCCACAAAUUGGGGAUAAAGGAAAUUGUUACGUUAAAUAAUACGAUUCCGGCUAAUUGAGGUAGGGGAUUUAUUUCAAAAUUAACAGUUUUAACUUAUGAAUGCCAAUGAGGUUUAAUGAGUAAUUGCUAAUAAUUUAUAAUUAUGAUUAAUUGAUAGAAAUAAGCUUGAUUGAUUUGAGAUUGUGAAAUUUGGAUUACGUUUGGUAUUGAGAUGAUUUUCUAGUAUUUCAACUAAUUUAUUGAUUUUAGAGUGUGGCUGUGAAUAUCAUUGGGUGUUCUUGUUGUGAGUAAUAGAUUAAUUGAUAAGAUUAAUUCUGGUUGAGGCUAUGAUUGAUAUCGGUUUUCUGAUUUUGAUGUAAUUGUUGAAAAUUCUGAUUUUAGGGGAUUAUGCUAAAUUGGUUGAGAUGUGGCUAUAUUCUAAUUAUUGAGAAUAAGUGCUUGCUGUUGAUUUUAGUUAUCUGAUAUAUAUGAAUGGCUGUGAAUUUGACUUGUGACUGGCUGAAAUUCAUUUUGGUGGUUAUUGAAGGAUUAGAACUUAAAGGAUUAAACUGUCUUGAGAACCUGAUUUUCUGAAAUAACAUAGUAAAUUUUAAGAGUAUAUAAAUAAUUUUAUAAUGGUUAGACUAAUUUUCUGUGUCAUGAUUUAUUGAUUCUGACUUGGCUGUGAUUGUGGCCGGUUUCAUGGUUGUAAGUGAUUAAUUGAUGAUAUUGAUUUUGAUUUGAGGCUGUAACUAUUUCCAAUUUUCUGAUUGUUUGGAAUUACUGAGAAUCCUGCUAUUUGAUUAUGUUGAGCUGGUUGCCAUAGGCUGGUUUGCUUGAUGGUUGCAAAUUGACUGAAAUUCUGAUCUUUGACGGAUUUAUAUUGAAUUGAAUGAUGUGCUGGUUAUUUGAUAUAUUGUAACGGUAGUGGAAUUGGUUGGUGGAAUUAAGUUUGGAAUGAGGUUGUGGGAAUAAGAUUGGUGUGGUAUUAAAACUGAUUUUGAUUUGAGGCUGUGAAUUGUGAUUUGUGAGCCAUGAUUGAAUUGUUUGAAAGUGAAUAAUAAUUCGACUUCCUGGUUAUGCUGAUUUUCUUGAUUUAGUUGUGAAAUUGAAAUGUAAUUGAUGAUGGUGGAUAUUGUUGCAAGCUUGUUUGAGAAAUUAUUGGUUACUGGAUAGGUUAAUUUGACUAGAUAAUAAUGUACUGAGUGUUGAACUGAUUCAAGCUUGUGCUCGGUUUGGAAUGGUUGUGAUAAUGGUUUAAUUGUGACUGCCUUCUGAUUAUUUCAGAGUUGUUGGAAAUUCAUAUUUUAGCUGAUUAUGUUGAGUUGGUUGUUAUGGUUAAUUUAAGGUUAACCAGAGUUGAUUUCGAGAACGGUUAAAUGAUUGAAGGUUGAUUACUAAAGUAUUUUCUUAAAGUAUGAUCUUUAGAAUAAAUUGGUAACUUUACUAAUAAUUAAAUAACUUUAAAAAUAAUUGGAAAUAUGAAAGGAUGAUGUUUGGAAUAUUAGAAGCUGGAUUGAUUUACUUUUAAAGAAUGGUCUAUGAAAACUCUGAUUUUAAUUAAUGUUAGGAUGUCGAUUGUUAAACUAUUUUAUGAUAAAAUGACUACUGGGAUUCUGUUAUGAAAACUGCUGAAAAAAGGGGCUGGAGACUUGUUGAGAAAGAGGGAACCCGUAAGGGUGGCUAAGUCCGAGUUUUAGGGGAGGUGCUGCCGAAAUUUUAUAAAAAUCUGAGGUUUCAUUUGAAAAGUUAUUUUAGAAGCUUUGAAUUUGGAAAAUUAUAUUACUUGAGUUUCAUUUAGUUAAGAAAAGAAUUAUUCUAUUUUAAAUUUGAUUUACCAAAGAAAGGUUUAUGUUUCAAAAUUAGACUAUUUAAGAAAGAAACUAUGUUUUGAGAUUGAUUCAAUAUGAAAAGAGUUAUGUUUUAGGUUUGAAAUAAAGGAUGAUCUUUUUAGAAGUUUGGUGAAAUAAUAAUAUUUGAAUUUGAAUGGUAAAGAGAGAUGGUUUUUGAGUCUUUGGGAAGUUAGUAAACUUGAAAAAGAGUUUUAUUUGGUUAAUUUUAUUAAGAGGGUGAUGUUUUGAAAAAUAUUUAGCGAAUUUAAAAUAAAUGAUUUUCUUGAGUCUUUUGAAAGAAAAUUAAAUUAGAAAAUAGUUUUAAAAUUGGUUCGAGUUAAGAGGUUGCAAAAGUAGAAGUCGUAAAGUUUGUACAUGAUUGAAUAAAGAGAGAGAGAAAUAUUGUAUAAGAAUAUGUAACUGGAGAUGAAUAACGAGAAUGAUAACUUAUGAUGAUAAUUACAAUGAUUCUUUUGAGGAAAGGUAUUCAGUUUAUGAAAUUGUUGGCAAGGACGUGGAUUUUGUCCCGCUUGCGUAUUUAUGAUUAUAAAAGAGAAUAAAAAGCAGAGGACCUGUUGAAAGGUCAUUUGUUGCUUGAGGCAACCCAAGAGAUAUGUUUAUUCAUUUGUUGCGUUAUGGCAACUCAUGAGAUAUUUAUGUGAUGAUCUGCUGCGUGAAGGCAGUCAGAUAGAUGGUGGUACGACCACUGAGAGCGCUUCCCUGGGAUACUUAGUUAUAAAGCUAUUCUGUAAGUCAGAGGACUCUUACAGAGGUAUCGAGAAAACACAACUAGCACAUACUCCUGUAAGUCAAAGGACUCUUACAGUGAGUGUGUUGGGCAGAUAAAAGCUGGCUAGCUCCGUCCUGCAAGUCAAAGGACUCUUGCAGUGGUUUGCCUCACAAGUCAAAGGACUCUUGCGAGGGGCGUUGCCAACAGGGAAGCCUUACCUGGUCAAAGGACUCCGGGUAACGUCGGGAGCGGGUAUGUAACCGACAAAUGAGCUCAUUACCUGCACUAGGGUUAGACAUGCAUCAUCCUUGUUUGUGCAUUUGCAUUUGAUUGGGUUUGCUCGUUGUACUUUCCUGUGAUUGUGCUGUCUGCCUUGCUGUGACUUGUUUGUGUGUUGAAUUGAAUCUUUGUUAGUGCUAUUAGUUGGUGAAUGUAUGAUGAUGAGUAAGAAUUGAUGUUGUGAUUGAAAAUUAAUUGUGUGGUUGAGAAAUGCUUAAUGCGACCAGUUUUAUAUUUUGGAAUUUGUUUUGAGCUUAGAGAUUUUCUUUGGAAGAGGUAAAUAAUUAGUUAAAGAAAAACCAAGAAUAGUAUUUUCAUAAGGGUUUGAUAAAAAUAUAGUUUCCUUGAGUAUGUUAAUUAUUUGCAUUUUAUUUCAUUACUUUUACGGUAUUCCCAUUCCCUACUGAGAACGUGUGGUUUGUUCUCACCCCAAAAUCUUCCACCCUUUCAGUGACACAGGUUCGAAGACUCAGUUUGAAGCUGCGGGCGAUUAUAGUAUUUAUUUACGAGAUAAGUUUUUGAGUUAGGUUAUUUUAAUAGAAUUCCCUCGCCCUUGUUACUUUAGUUUUUAUUUUAUACAGUGGGAUAGGAUUUGUAUCUAAGUUUUAUUUGAAAUAUUUUGUAUGACAGAUAUUAUUAUUAGUAAUUAUGUGAUUAUUAUUACUUGGUGA
This 4660-nucleotide long non-coding RNA is filed under the name Arachis ipaensis. RNAcentral's name for it is "long non-coding RNA (AIPA_LNC000935)". The record is from RNAcentral. Lineage: Eukaryota; Viridiplantae; Streptophyta; Magnoliopsida; Fabales; Fabaceae.